ACGGGUGAGUAAUGUCUGGGGAUCUGCCCGAUAGAGGGGGAUAACCACUGGAAACGGUGGCUAAUACCGCAUAACGUCGCAAGACCAAAGAGGGGGACCUUAGGGCCUCUCACUAUCGGAUGAACCCAGAUGGGAUUAGCUAGUAGGCGGGGUAAUGGCCCACCUAGGCGACGAUCCCUAGCUGGUCUGAGAGGAUGACCAGCCACACUGGAACUGAGACACGGUCCAGACUCCUACGGGAGGCAGCAGUGGGGAAUAUUGCACAAUGGGCGCAAGCCUGAUGCAGCCAUGCCGCGUGUAUGAAGAUGGCCUUCGGGUUGUAAAGUACUUUCAGCGGGGAGGAAGGCGGUGAGGUUAAUAACCUUGCCGAUUGACGUUACCCGCAGAAGAAGCACCGGCUAACUCCGUGCCAGCAGCCGCGGUAAUACGGAGGGUGCAAGCGUUAAUCGGAAUUACUGGGCGUAAAGCGCACGCAGGCGGUCUGUUAAGUCAGAUGUGAAAUCCCCGGGCUUAACCUGGGAACUGCAUUUGAAACUGGCAGGCUUGAGUCUCGUAGAGGGGGGUAGAAUUCCAGGUGUAGCG
RNAcentral lists this ribosomal RNA (582 nucleotides) under uncultured bacterium. RNAcentral's name for it is "bacterial SSU rRNA". It matches the Rfam family "Bacterial small subunit ribosomal RNA", at positions 102 to 680 of the family's 1533-position model. The record is from RNAcentral.